This is a long non-coding RNA of Oncorhynchus tshawytscha (Chinook salmon), 344 nucleotides long. NCBI's taxonomy places the organism in Eukaryota, Metazoa, Chordata, Actinopteri, Salmoniformes, Salmonidae. The record is from Ensembl.
ACAGGACAGUUAGGUUAUAGAGGGUCUAUGUCUACAGGUCAGUUAGGUUAUAGAGGGUCUAUGUCUAGAGGAUAGUCAGUUAGGUUAUAGAGGGUCUAUGUCUAGAGGUCAGUUAGGUUAUAGAGGGUGUAUGUCUAGAGGUCAGUUAGGUUAUAGAGGGUCUAUGUCUAGAGGAUAGUCAGUUAGGUUAUAGAGGGACUAUGUCUAGAGGUCAGUUAGGUUAUAGAGGGACUAUGUCUACAGGUCAGUUAGGUUAUAGAGGGUCUAUGUCUACAGGUCAGUUAGGUUAUAGAGGGACUAUGUCUAGAGGAUGGUCAGUUAGGUUAUAGAGGGUCUAUGUCUAG